UCCGAAUGGGGAAACCCAGUGUGUUUCGACACACUAUCAUUAACUGAAUCCAUAGGUUAAUGAGGCGAACCGGGGGAACUGAAACAUCUAAGUACCCCGAGGAAAAGAAAUCAACCGAGAUUCCCCCAGUAGCGGCGAGCGAACGGGGAGCAGCCCAGAGCCUGAAUCAGUGUGUGUGUUAGUGGAAGCGUCUGGAAAGGCGCGCGAUACAGGGUGACAGCCCCGUACACAAAAAUGCACAUGCUGUGAGCUCGAUGAGUAGGGCGGGACACGUGGUAUCCUGUCUGAAUAUGGGGGGACCAUCCUCCAAGGCUAAAUACUCCUGACUGACCGAUAGUGAACCAGUACCGUGAGGGAAAGGCGAAAAGAACCCCGGCGAGGGGAGUGAAAAAGAACCUGAAACCGUGUAC
Molecule: ribosomal RNA, 410 nt
Filed under: Escherichia coli
Lineage: Bacteria; Pseudomonadati; Pseudomonadota; Gammaproteobacteria; Enterobacterales; Enterobacteriaceae
Description: partial 23S ribosomal RNA
Rfam family: Bacterial large subunit ribosomal RNA
Source: RNAcentral